CAUGCAAGUCGUGGGGCAGCGCAGUGUAGCAAUACAUGGGCGGCGACCGGCAAACGGGUGCGGAACACGUACGCAACCUUCCUUCAAGUGGGGGAUAGCCCGGGGAAACCCGGAUUAAUACCCCGUAAUACUGUGAGAUGGCAUCAUCUUACACUUAUAGCUCCGGCGCUUGAAGAUGGGCGUGCGCCUGAUUAGGUAGUUGGCGGGGUAACGGCCCACCAAGCCUUCGAUCAGUAACUGGUGUGAGAGCACGACCAGUCACACGGGCACUGAGACACGGGCCCGACUCCUACGGGAGGCAGCAGUAAGGAAUAUUGGUCAAUGGACGCAAGUCUGAACCAGCCAUGCCGCGUGGAGGAUGAAGGUCCUCUGGAUUGUAAACUUCUUUUAUCUGGGAAGAAACCCACGGUUUCUACUGUGGUUGACGGUACCAGAUGAAUAAGCACCGGCUAACUCCGUGCCAGCAGCCGCGGUAAUACGGAGGGUGCAAGCGUUAUCCGGAUUCACUGGGUUUAAAGGGUGCGUAGGUGGGUUGGUAAGUCAGUGGUGAAAUCUCCGAGCUUAACUUGGAAACUGCCGUUGAUACUAUCAAUCUUGAAUAUCGCGUAGGUAAGCGGAAUAUGUCAUGUAGCGGUGAAAUGCUUAGAUAUGACAUAGAACACCAAUUGCGAAGGCAGCUUACUUCACGAUCAUUGACACUGA
This 702-nucleotide ribosomal RNA is filed under the name uncultured bacterium. Its description in RNAcentral is "bacterial SSU rRNA". It matches the Rfam family "Bacterial small subunit ribosomal RNA", at positions 54 to 749 of the family's 1533-position model. The record is from RNAcentral.